This 207-nucleotide long non-coding RNA is filed under the name Lathyrus oleraceus (garden pea). RNAcentral's name for it is "Pisum sativum (pea) long non-coding RNA (PSAT_LNC040120)". Lineage: Eukaryota; Viridiplantae; Streptophyta; Magnoliopsida; Fabales; Fabaceae. The record is from RNAcentral.
CUCCCAAUAAAUCUUACCAUAAUUAACAACCACGACUCAUAGUUGUUAGGAUAACAAACAUCAUUGAAUUCUCAUUAAUAGGAUUUACUAACAUAAAAAAAAUUUAAAGAAAAAUAAAUAAAUAUUCAGUAGUUCAACCCGAAGAACAGCAAAUGCAACCGAUUUGACAACUAGUAAUAUCGACGAUUGGUGUUGAUAGCAUUUUUU